GGCAGAAGGGACGUCCCCAAAUGACACUCGGAGGCCGCCUCCCUGGGCUCCGGUGCUCGGUGCCGGGAGGAGCGGCACGGCUUUCUACCCCGCCUCAGGUGCGCCAGCACGUUUUCUGGGCAGCAUCUGUGUGUUAGGCGACCGGAGAGGUGGGUUCCUUAUAGGGAAUAAGAAAACUGAAACUGACUUCCAACUGCAGGCAGAAGGAAGCAGUGGUCAUUGCUGGAGGUUAAAACUGUUCUGACCGGGCGCAGUGGCUCACGCCUGUAUUCCCAGCACUUUGGGAGGCUGAGGCGAGCAGAUCACGAAGUCAGGAGAUCAAGACCAUCCUGGCCAACAAGGUGAAACCCCGGCUCUACUAAAAAUACAAAAAUUAGCUGGGCGUGGUGGCGCGCGCCGGAAGUCCCAGCUACUUGGGAGGAUGAGGCAGAAGAAUCGCUUGAACCCGGGAGGCGGAGGUUGCGGUGAGCCGAGAUCGCGCCAUUGCACUCCAGCCUGGCGACUCAGCGAUACUCCGUCCCCCUCUCCCCGCCCCAAGAAAAAUCUGUUCAGUGGGGAGCGACAAGGAAGGAGCUUUCAGCCCGACUGGGGUCGCAGGGAAGAAUUCAAGAUGGCGUGUUUAGGAGCUCUAGCUCCUUGACAAAUUAGUAAAAUGUUAGUCUUAGGAGAAGAACGAAAAGGCUCUCCUAGGCUAAGAAACAGCAUACACAGUGAGAAACCUCAGAAGAAAUAAAAUUCAAGGAAGAUAGCAACAACGAAAACAUCAGAAGGAACACUAAAGUAGUCAAAUCAGCCUAGCAGAAACAAAGUACGUUAACCAAUGGAAAACUGACGGAGAGAAAUAAACUGUUUUUGCACAGCUAAAUGGAAAUGACUUUUGAAUUAUCUGCUUUGGAAGAUUAUCCAUGACACUGUUCUGCCCUGCUCUGCUCUAACAACAUUUGUAAGUCACUCAACAGUUAAUAAUAAAAGUCAGUUUUGAAUAUUGCAGGUUUUAGACACAGAACAAAUGUAAUGUGACACUGUAGGAAGAAUGAAUUCUCCUUAGUCCCAAAUUCCUUUUUUUUUUCUUAGAUUCGGGAAUAAGUAAAGAUACAAGAUCCUCUUAACCAGUAUCAGUAUAAUUGUUCCCUUUAGAUUUAUUGCUGUCACCCCAAUGCUCUUCUUUCUUUCUAGAGGAAAGGAAAAGAAGGAGGUAAUAGGAAAAGUAAUGGGUUGUCCUGAUGUUACUGUGUCUAGGAUGUCAUUGCCACUGGUCUCCUCAGAUCAAUCAUUCUGCCUAAUAAACAGAAAAAUAACAUGGGCAGCCUCACAUGCAAGCCUUUACACACACUGCUAAAGAGACCUCGCUUCCUCUGAGAAGUGAGGAUGUGAGAAUGAAGGAUUGAUUUUACAGAACUGGAUGACAGGUUAAAUUGGGCAUCUGGAGGUUUAUAUUCCCAUCUCCACUCACCAAGUUUCAUCCUCCAUUUAUGACCAAGGAUAGGUAUAACAUCUGAUCUUGAUGGUUACUGUUUCAAAAAACAAUCUGAUCUUUUUUAUAAAGUUAAACAUUUACUUAAUCAUGCAGCAUACUAAUUCCCACUCCUGGGUAUUUAUCCGAGUGACAUAAAAACAAGUUCACACAAAACCUGUAAACACAUAUAUGUCUUUAUUCAUAUAAUAGAAAAAACACAAACCCUAAAAUGGAAAAAACAUAAUGUCCUUCACCUGGUGAUAUGGUUUGGUUCUGUGUCCCCACCCAAAUCUCAUCUCAAAUUGUAAUACCCACGUGUUGAAGGAAGGACCUAUAACCUUCACGUGUCAAGGGAGGGAAGUGAUUGGAUGAUGGGGGCGGUUUCCCCCAUGCUGUUCUUGUGAUGGUGCAUGAAUUCUCACCAGAGAUGAUGGUUUUAAAAGUGUUUGGCAGUUCUUCCUUCAUUCACACACACUCACUGUCUCUCCCCUGUGCCACAUAAGAUGAGCUUGCUUCCCUUCUACCAUAACUGUAAGUUUCUGAAGUCCUCCCCAGCCAUGCAGAACUAUAAGUAAAUUAAACCUCUUUUCUUUAUAAAUUACCUAGUCUCAGGUAUGUCUUUAUAGCAGUGUGAAAAUAGGCUAAUACAUCUGGUGAAUCAAUAAUUAAAAUGUAGCAUAGCUAUAAAUGGAAUACUACUCAGUAAUAAAAGAAUAACUCGAUACAUACAAUAAUAUUGAUGAAUCUCAAAUGCAUUAUGGGAAGUAAAAGAAGCCAGGCUCCACUUAUGUGACAUUCUGGAAAAAGGAAGACUAUACGGUCAGAAAACAGAUCAGUGUUUGCCAGGACUUGGGGGUGGGGGGUGGGGAGUGAUUGACUACAAAAGGGCAUGAAGAAAUUUUGAAGGGGAGGUAUGGAACAGGUCUGUAUCUUGACUGCAGUGGAGUUAUUGAUACUUACCAAACUGUACAAUAAAAAGUAAAUUUUUAUUGUAUGAAAAUUAUGCCUAAAUUAAAAACUAUUAAUAAAAUCAGCAUUAGCAAAAUAUAUGAGUUUAUACACAAGAGACUACUCAACCAUUGGGUAAACUAAUUAUUUUUAAACAAAUACCAUUGAUUUUAAUCUUUUUAUAGUUUUUAUACAGGCAGAGAAAUAAUAGUGAUUCUGCUCACCUAAAGGAAGAUAGACCCAAUUCAAAGGUACAGAAUUUUCCCCAAAUAGUAUCAUAAUUUUUCCUUUCAGAUUCCAAAGGAUUUGCAUGUAAAUUCUAUCAUGUGAUCCUCAGAACCACCCUAUGAGGGUAAGCAGAACAGAUGAUCCAUGAUAUUCCAUUUUAUAAAUGAGGUGCAGGUUAAAUAUUUAGCCAGUAUUUCUUGAUAAGUAUAGUCCAUUUAUUUCAACAAACCUUGAUUGAGGGCCCCAAUACUUGUUGAGCUUUUGCUGAGCCACCCCUGCUCUAGAGGAGCACAUGCUCUGGAAAUCUCUAAGGAAACUACUACAACUCUAAAUAGAUAUGGUGUAUAGUGAUACUGUGACUAAAUAUUCACUGCAAAUUUCCUCUAAAAUUAUAGAUAUACAUUACUGGAAUAAUUAGUAUCUCAACAUCUUCAUUAACUAUGAAUCUACUAUGUAUAUAUCAUCACCAUGUGAGUAUUAAUUUGGUACAAAUAGGCUGCCAACUCUAAAAUUAUUUGAUGUAGGGCAAGUACUUUUAUCUUUUUAGCCAUAAAUUUUCUCAUCUGUAAAAUGAGAGGAGUAGGCAUGUGAUCAUUAAAUCCUGGGUUACGGUAGGAGGCAUCAAUAUGAAAUGUUUAGCUUAAUAUAGAUACAGAUGGGUAAAUAUAGAAAUACUUAAAAAUGCAUGUGGAUUCAUGUUUAAUACAUUAGUAUACACACAUAUAUUUCCAAGUUCUGUCCUCCGAAGGCCUAGAAGCAAUGACAAGCAGAAGCAAGGAGCACACCCAGCAUCCAGUUUUUUGUUUCUAAUACUGUUCUCCAACAAAGGGAACCAGAGCCCUUGAGAAAAAUGCCUAAUUCUAGGACUGGGGCAGGGGAUAUACAAGAUGAGUCUGAAACAUCUUAUAGUGCCAGAAAAUAAACAAGUGCUUUAAAAAGACACAAAAAACUGAUGGUAUAUCAAAGUGACAUAGGAGCCAACUAAAAGAGCUCCCAAUAGCUAAAGCUAGAAUAAUUCAAAAAAUAAGUAAUUCAGCAUUGGAUUUAACCCAAAUUAUAAAAUAAGAUCCAUGAGUUCAUACUGAUACAAGUAAAUGAUUGAAGAAACAAAUAAUUGGGAGAUAAUUCUCAUAUUGAAAAAUUCCAAAAAAUUUAUGUACUCUACCCUCGAGAAGAUGGAACAUAAUUCUCCACCCCAUAAGCAUGAGUCAAGCCUAGUAAAUGUUUUUCAAAGAGCGCAGUAUGGAAAGGAGGAAGAACACUACCUCAACCAGCUGAUCAAGGCUAACAUCUCUAGUAUGUCAUUAGUGGCAUGUAACCUUGAUAUGAUAUGAUGAGAAUAGCAUUUGAUCUUUGAUCUGUUUCCUCCCCGAAACUCAUUGCCCCAGCCUAAUCAUGAAGAAAUAUCAGACAAUCUCAAAUUAAGUACAAAAUAACCAGUACUCUUCAGAACUAUCAAGGCCACCAAAAACAAGGAAAGUAUAAGAAACUGUCACAGUCUAGAAGAGCCUGGUGAUGACUAAAUGUAAUGUGAUAUCCUGGAUGGGAUCCCAGGACAGAAAAAGAACAUUAGGUUAAACUAAAUCAAACUUGAGUAUGAAACUUCUUUUUUUUUAAGUGCCUAAGUCCUGAAUGACAACAAAAGACUGAAGAACUGACAACGAUUAGAGGACACUAAGGAGACUUAACAACUAAAUGCAAAAUGGGACCCUGAAUCUGAUCCUGGAACACAAAAACUAAAUUAGUAGAAAAGUGGUAAAAUAGGUGGUCGCGCGCCCGACCGCCGCAGUCCCAGUCGAGCCGCGACCCUUCCGGCUGCCCCCACCCCACCUCGCCGCCAUGUGCCUCCGCCGCCCAGCGCUGUUCCCGGGCGUGGCGCUGCUUCUCGCCGCGGCCCGCCUCGCGGCUGCCUCCGACGUGCUAGGACUCAGGGACGACAACUUGGAGAGUCGCAUCUCCGACACGGGCUCUGCGGGCCUCAUGCUCGUCGAGUUCUUCGCCCCCUGGCUGAUUGCACUGCCAACACUAACACCUGUAAUAAAUAUGGAGUCAGUGGAUAUCCAACCCUGAAUAUGUUUAGAGAUGGUGAAGAAGCAGGUGCUUAUGAUGGACCUAGGACUGCUGAUGGAAUUGUCAGCCACCUGAAGAAGCAGGCAGGCCCAGCUUCAGUGCCUCUCAGGACUGAGGAAGAAUUUAAGAAAUUCAUUAGUGAUAAAGAUGCCUCUAUAGUAGGUUUUUUCGAUGAUUCAUUCAGUGAAGCUCACUCCGAGUUCCUAAAAGCAGCCAGCAACUUGAGGGAUAACUACCGAUUUGCACAUACGAAUGUUGAGUCUCUGGUGAACGAGUAUGAUGAUAACGGAGAUGGUAUCAUCUUAUUUCGUCCUUCACAUCUCACUAACAAGUUGGAGGACAAGACUGUGGCAUAUACAGUGCAAAAAAUGACCAGUGGCAAAAUUAAAAAGUUUAUCCAGGAAAACAUUUUUGGUAUCUGCCCUCACAUGACAGAAGACAAUAAAGAUUUGAUACAGGGCAAGGACUUACUUAUUGCUUACUAUGAUGUGGACUAUGAAAAGAAUGCUAAAGGUUCCAACUACUGGAGAAACAGGGUAAUGAUGGUGGCAAAGAAAUUCCUGGAUGCUGGGCACAAACUCAACUUUGCUGUAGCUAGCCGCAAAACCUUUAGCCAUGAACUUUCUGAUUUUGGCUUGGAGAGCACUGCUGGAGAGAUUCCUGUUGUUGCUAUCAGAACUGCUAAAGGAGAGAAGUUUGUCAUGCAGGAGGAUUUCUCGCGUGAUGGGAAUGCUCUGGAGAGGUUCCUGCAGGAUUACUUUGAUGGCAAUCUGAAGAGAUACCUGAAGUCUGAACCUAUCCCAGAGAGCAAUGAUGGGCCUGUGAAGCUCAGCAAAGACCUGAAUAUCGUCAUAGCCAAGAUGGAUGCCACAGCCAAUGAUGUGCCUUCUCCAUAUGAAGUCAGAGUUUUCCUACCAUAUACUUCUCUCCAGCCAACAAGAAGCUAAAUCCAAAGAAAUAUGAAGGUGGCCAUGAAUUAAGUGAUUUUAUUAGCUAUCUACAACGAGAAGCUACAAACCCCCCUGUAAUUCAAGAAGAAAAACCCAAGAAGAAGAAGGCACAGGAGGAUCUCUAAAGCAGUAGGCAAACACCACUUUGUAAAAGGACUCUUCCACCAGAGAUGGGAAAACCACUGGGGAGGACUAGGACCCAUAUGGGAAUUAUUACGUCUCAGGGCCGAGAGGACAGAAUGGAUAUAAUCUGAAUCCUGUUAAAUUUUCUCUAAGCCAUUUCUUAGCUGCACUGUUAUGGAAAUACCAGGACCAGUUUAUGUUUGUGGUUUUGGGAAAAAUUAUUGGUGUUGGGGGAAAUGUUGUGGGAGUCGGGUUGAGUUGGGGGUAUUUUCUAAUUUUUUUGUGCAUUUGGAACAGUGACAAUAAAUAAGACCCCUUUAAACUGUAAAAAAAAAAAAAAUAGGAAUGCGGUCCAUGGUUUACUUAAUCGUAUAAUAUCAGUGUUCAUUUUCUUAUUUUGAUAAUUGUCAUAAUGUUGUGUGAAAUAUUCUCUUUAGGGAGCCUGGGAAAGAAUAUAUAAGAACUCUACUAUUUUUGUAACUUUUGUGGAGGACUGCAAUCAUUUCUAAAUAAAUAGUCUUAAAAAUAACUAAAGUAAUAAAAAUAAUAAAGUACAUGAGGAAGUCCAGUGUCAUGUUGUAUAGUCAGAAGAUUCUUCAAAUGAGAGAAUUUGCACCCAGGGAAAUAG
Molecule: long non-coding RNA, 6403 nt
Filed under: Homo sapiens (human)
Lineage: Eukaryota; Metazoa; Chordata; Mammalia; Primates; Hominidae
Description: non-protein coding lnc-CHD1L-5:13
Source: RNAcentral